Long non-coding RNA from Hypanus sabinus (Atlantic stingray), 4700 nucleotides. RefSeq lists it as uncharacterized. NCBI's taxonomy places the organism in Eukaryota, Metazoa, Chordata, Chondrichthyes, Myliobatiformes, Dasyatidae. The record is from RefSeq and is a predicted model, not a curated record. The transcript has 2 exons.
UCGAGAGAACUCAACUCAAGAGUUAGCAAAGCCUUUCUAUUUGUAGCACCUCUGGUGAAGGGGCUUGAUUUGUCUGUUCUGGGGUAGCUCUCUCAACUUUGGUCCCCACUGGAUACUCAGCUGUCAUCUGUGGCUCCAAGUAGAUGUUUAUGUAAUGCCUUGGCUCAUAUUUUUACUGUUAUGCUGUAUGUAUUUCAUUUUGGCAGCUCUGUAAGAGCGGUCUGUUCUGUUUUCAUGCUUGUUUUGGUUAUUGCUGAAGAUAAGAGAUGAGGAGAAAUGUGUGCCAUCCUAUUAGGAUGUCAGAUUAUGGGGAGGUUUCUCUGGUGAGGGACACUAAGGUUGGGCCUGGGGCCUUUUGUUUGCGAGGAGAUGAAGAGAGAAGACGGGGGAGAACUGGUCAUAGGAUACGAUUGGUAGGAUACCCGUUUGAUCGAGAUAGAUUGUGAGCGACGUUUGGAAGGUGGCGUGGGCUUUCACAUUGACUGAGGGCCCAGCGCGCGAGUGACAGAGAAGUUCAAGAUGAGCUCCAACUUGUGCACAUUUGACUGUUUAAUUAGAAUGGGUCUUUUCUUUUUGUUCUUUACUAACCCUUUGGUUAAGAUUCAUAAAUAUAUUUCCUUUAACUGUACACAGUGCUGGUUUGCAGUGUUAUUUCAUGGCAUUAAUAUGUAACAGGGUAGUAAAUGACACAGCAUCCACACAAAUGGGGGUUUGGGGUGGAAUCAAGCGCUGCUCAAUCUCACGAGUCUGGCAGGGCUGGAGGUUGUCUUCCCUAGACUUACGUAGCCAAGGAAAACGGGGUGUUCCAUUUGCAGGCAACAGCAGUCGUACCCCGCAAAAACACUUUGACAGGCAGGCUAAACCAGGUGACGGUAGCUGGCAGGCCUCAUACCCUGCUGAGGUAGGGACAUGCAUACCUGCUGGAUGAGAUCAACAUUGAGAUCCAACAGCUAGGAAGAAGGUUCUGCAAUUCUUCAUGGAGAGCAAAGAGCAGGACAAGACAGAGAAGAAAUCAUGGUCAUCCACUGCAUCCAAGGAAGACCCUAGUUGUGACAGCUACUUGUAGCACUAGACCCGGAGAACUGCCUCAGUGUAAUGGCUUUUCCACUUUAAAAACUCCUGCACACGUUUUAUCAUGUAGUUCACAUCACCCAAAGAGCUGCAAAAAAUCCAACUCUCAUUGUCAGAUACAAUAGAUAACAAAUUAAACCAUUUGGAUAUCAGAAAGUGGAUUGAAGUCAUGGAUAAGGAUUUUCACAGCUUUAUAUGGUUCAGAAUAUUGGAAGCAUGAAACAAGAAUAUUCCAGACUACAGACCUUGCCGAACAAGAUUUUAUGAAGACACUUAGACUUACCUAAUGAUUAGAAUUUCAAAAUCAAAGGUUGUCCAUGUUGUCCAAGGGGUGAAAAAGAAGAGGUGGAGAUGACUUGAACAAAUGUGCUUAAUGCCAAGAACUGGAUUGCUCAGAAUGGCUCAGUGAGGGGGAGGUGAUGCCUCAUAAACCUGAGUGAAAUCUUUAAGGAAGUGAAUUCUUCUUGGUGAGGAAAGGGCAUGACAAGGCACAGAAGAAGUCCUGGUCGUCCACUGCAACCAAGGAAGAUCCCAGUAGUGGCAACUACUUAUUUUGUUGCUGUAAAUGAAAAUUAUUUUAAAAUUUGUUAUGUGUUCUUUCCUGGUUCUCGCAAACAGAGGAGUCGACACCUGUGUUCACUGUCACAGGAAAACUCUAUAUUAGAGCUAAGUAGUAGCAGUAAAGAAAUCAAACUAGUACUCAUCAUCCUCCAAGUCAGCUGAUCUGCGGAAUGCCAUCAGACUUUCAUGCAGCUUCUCCUCCCUCCAUCUCUCUCUCCUCUCUCUCUCACUCUCUCUCUGUGUCUCUCUGUCUCUGUCUGUCUGUCUGUCUGUCUCUCUCUGUGUCUCUCUUUCUCUCUCUAACUUAAACUCGACAUAAUGUACCCUAUCACCAUGCCAGCCACCAGCCAUGCCUCAGCUUAGGACAAAACUCUCUUCUCUUGCACCAAGAAGGUGCCCCUUUUUGUACUCUUUAAAACUCCUGUCAUUAGUACUUUCCAUGCAUUUGGUAUCUGCCUUCCCAUGAAAAACAUAUUUUUUGCCAUCUUCCAGUGAUAUGCCUGUAGACCUGCACUCCCUUAACUUUCUCAGCACAUUCCUGUGGACUGGUUCUCUUGCACUUUCUCAAAACAACCCCACUCCAAGUUAACACCAUUUUGUCUUAGCAUCUUAGCAUAUACCAAGGAGGAAUCACGUUGAACAUUUCCUUACAACUACCUUGAUGAAGUCUGAGCAGUGGAUGUAGUGUAUAUGGAUUUUAGUAAGGCAUUUGACAGGGUUCCGAUUGGUAGGCUCCUUCAGUAGGUCCAGAGGCAUGGGAUCCAGGGAAAUACAGCUGUGUGGGCAGAGGGUGAUAGUAGAUUUAAUAUAUUGUAUCUGGAGGUCUGUGACUAGUGCUGUUCCACAGAGAUCUUUUCUGGGAUCCCUGCUCUUGGUGAUAUUUAUAAAUGACCAGUGGAAGGGUGGGUUAGUAAUUUGCAGAUGACACAAAGAUCGAUGCUGUUGUGGAUAGUGUAGAAGGUUGUUGUAGGUUACAACAGGAUAUUGACAGGAUUCCGAGUUGGGCUGAGAAGUGGCAGAUGGAGUUCAAUCCAGAAAAGUGAUGAGUGGUUCACUUUGGAAGGUCACACUUUACGACAGGGUACAAAGCUAUUGGUAAGAUUCUGAGCAGUGUGGAGGAACAGAGGGCUCAUGUCCAUAGAUCACUCAAAGUUGCUGUGCAAGUUGAUGGGGUGGUUAAAAAGGUAUAUAGUGUGUUGGCCUUCAUUAGUUGGGAGACUGAGUUCGAGUCGCGAGGUAACAUUACAAGUCUAUGAAACUCUGGUUAGACUGCACUUGAGUGUUGUGUUCAGUUCACCUCAUUAUAGGAAGGAUGUGGAAACUUUCAAGAGGGCGCAAAGGAGAUUUAUCAGGAUGCUGCAUGGACUAGAGGAAAGGUUGAGUGAGGUAGGGCUUUCCUCAUUGGAGUGAAGGAGGGCGAGUGGUGAUGUGUUAGAGAUGGGAGGCAAUAUUGGGGUGCAAUAUUAGACCGUCUCUUGGCCGAUGAGGUGGCAAUCAGGGUGCGCUUUAUCUAGUUUUAAGGUAGUGAGGGAAAAGGAUAGGAUGGUUUAGGAUUCUAAACCAGAGUAGGGCUAAUUUUGGGGGAAUUAGGGCAGGAUCUAGCAGAGGUCAGUUCAGUAAGCCGGAAGGAAAAGGAACAAAUAGCAAGUGGGAGGCUUUUACGAAGGUGAUAUAAAGAGUCCAGGAGCAGCGUUGUACUGUUGGGGUGAAGGGUAAACCUGGCAAGUUUAGUGAAACUUGGCUGACAAGAGAUAUUGAGGCUCUGAUCAAGAACUAGAAGGAAGCACACAUCGGAUUAGGAAGUUCAGGGCAAAUGAAUCCCUUGAAGACUAUAAACAAUUAAUAAUACUCAAGGGGGAAAUCAGCAGGACAAGGAGAGGGGAUGAGAUGGAUCUGGCAGGUAAGGUUAAGAUAGCUUUAAUAAGAGUAACUAGGGAAGAAUAAGUCCUCUGAGGGCUGAUUAUAUCUUGAGCUGCAGGAGAUGAGUGGGAUUGUUAGUGAACAUUUCUCCUUGGUGUUUACUGAAGAGAAAAUCAUGGUUGCUCAAGAGACGCAAGUGGUGCAGCUUUGGAGUAGAAUUCGUAUUACUAGGGAAGAUGCAUUUGAGCCUUACAGUGCAUUAAGAUGGAUAAAUCCCCAAGGUCUGAGUGAGUGCAUCUUUGGACUUAGCGUGAGGCUGGAGAAGAAAUUGCAGAGGUAUUUGCUUCAUCAUUAUCCCGUGGUGAAAUUCCUGGAAGGUUCUGUUGUUUAUGAAGUGGCAAGGACAAGCCAGGGAACUACAGGGUUCAGCCUGACAUCAGUAGGUGGUUACUGUAGGGGAUUUUGAGGGACAGGAUCUACGAGCAUUUGGAUAGAUGGAGUCUAAUUCAGAGGAGUCAGCAUGGCUUUGUGUGUUGAAAGUCACGCUUGAUGAACAUUAUAGGCUGUCUGGAAUGUUAGGUCAUGUGGAAUCCAAGGAGAGCUAGUUUAGUGGAUCAGAAUUGGCUCAGAAGUCAGAAGCAGAGGGUGGUGUUUGAAGGAUGUUUCUUGAAGUGGAGAUUAGUGACGUGGUGUGCUGGAGAGAUGCUGGCCGACCAACUGAGCAAUCCCAGCAUUUUCUCUUUCUUUAAUUAAAGUGUAGGGUUCUCAGAUUAUUUACUGUAAUGAUUAACUGUUAACUGCAUGUAUAAAAUGGCUUCUUUGUAUGUAUCUAAUGAGGUAAUUGCUCUGUUUAGUUGAAAUGUUUGGGUUAUAAUUAUUGAUAACGAACUAUCCAAUAGAAGCCAUGUUGUUCUAUAUGUAUGUGUGGGAACCUGGAGUCAGUGGCGGGCUUUUUGGGAGGAGAACCGAAGAGGAAAGACGUGCUGGAUGCGCUCUGGUCGACCACUGAGGUUGGACCCGGGCGGCGGGUCGAGGAGGUCGGAGAAGUUCGAAUGGGGAUGGAAGGCUUCAAUAAUUGAGCUCCAACGGUUGUGCAUGAACUGAUCGGACUUUGAUAAGUUUGGCACCUUGUUCUUUCUUUUUAUAUUGUAUCACUAUUAAUUACCUAAUUCUAGUAAUAUUUAUAAAGUGUAAUCUGUAAAAAAGUA